AACGAACGCUGGCGGCAUGCCUAACACAUGCAGGUCGAACGAGACCUUCGGGUCUAGUGGCGCACGGGUGCGUAACGCGUGGGAACCUGCCCUUAGGUUCGGAAUAACUCCCCGAAAGGGGUGCUAAUACCGGAUAAUGUCUUCGGACCAAAGAUUUAUCGCCUUUGGAUGGGCCCGCGUUGGAUUAGCUAGUUGGUAGGGUAAAAGCCUACCAAGGCGACGAUCCAUAGCUGGUCUGAGAGGAUGAUCAGCCACACUGGGACUGAGACACGGCCCAGACUACGAGGGGGAGGCGGCGAGGGAAAUAAGGCAGAGCGAAAGAAAGCACUAUCCAGAAGCGAUGCUGUAGUUAAGAAGGACUUAGUGUUGAAGAACUAUCAUACGCGGAAAAAUAAUGACGGAACGGGGAAAAUUAGCCCAUGUAACCGCGGAGCGAACAGCAGAAGUAAUAAGAGGAGGGGCAGACGACACACC
RNAcentral lists this ribosomal RNA (474 nucleotides) under uncultured bacterium. RNAcentral describes it as "partial 16S ribosomal RNA". It matches the Rfam family "Bacterial small subunit ribosomal RNA", at positions 34 to 540 of the family's 1533-position model. The record is from RNAcentral.